This 303-nucleotide ribosomal RNA is filed under the name uncultured bacterium. Its description in RNAcentral is "partial 16S ribosomal RNA". It matches the Rfam family "Bacterial small subunit ribosomal RNA", at positions 507 to 807 of the family's 1533-position model. The record is from RNAcentral.
AGCAGCCGCCGCGGGAAUACGGAGGGUGCAAGCGUUAAUCGGAAUUACUGGGCGUAAAGCGCACGCAGGCGGUCUGACAAGUCAGAUGUGAAAUCCCCGGGCUUAACCUGGGAACUGCAUUUGAAACUGUCAGGCUGGAGUCUUGUAGAGGGGGGUGGAAUUCCAGGUGUAGCGGUGAAAUGCGUAGAGAUCUGGAGGAAUACCGGUGGCGAAGGCGGCCCCCUGGACAAAGACUGACGCUCAGGUGCGAAAGCGUGGGGAGCAAACAGGAUUAGAUACCCCGGUAGUCCCUGUCUCUUAUAC